AGACUAUCAUGAUCUGGCUGUAAUAUUUGUGACCACACUGAUGGCCAGGAUUGAUAGCUGAUCUCUCUCACUAGGUGAGUAUCCCCCCUNUGUCCCCACUCUAUGUGUAUCNCUCUCAAAGCUGAGUGCUCAGUAGAAGAGAUUGUGUUUCCACUGUAGAAGAGUAUUCUUUGGUCAAUGGCGCAUGAAUCACUGUACCUGACUCUUAUCCCAUGUAAAAGCUCCAAAAGAGCUCUCAGGACUAGCCAACCUAAUAAAAAUUUUAAUGAAAGAUAUGUGAUUCCACAGU
Molecule: small nuclear RNA, 289 nt
Filed under: Neotoma lepida (desert woodrat)
Lineage: Eukaryota; Metazoa; Chordata; Mammalia; Rodentia; Cricetidae
Description: 7SK RNA
Rfam family: 7SK RNA
About the family: 7SK was discovered as an abundant small nuclear RNA in the mid-70s but a possible function has only recently been suggested. Two independent studies have found that 7SK RNA binds the CDK9/cyclin T complex (known as elongation factor P-TEFb). P-TEFb activates transcription by phosphorylating the C-terminal domain of RNA polymerase II.
Source: Rfam by way of RNAcentral